UGGGGAAUAUUGCACAAUGGGCGAAAGCCUGAUGCAGCAACGCCGCGUGAGGGAUGACGGCCUUCGGGUUGUAAACCUCUUUUAGUAGGGAAGAAGCGAAAGUGACGGUACCUGCAGAAAAAGCACCGGCUAACUACGUGCCAGCAGCCGCGGUAAUACGUAGGGUGCAAGCGUUGUCCGGAAUUAUUGGGCGUAAAGAGCUCGUAGGCGGUUUGUCGCGUCUGCUGUGAAAUCCCGAGGCUCAACCUCGGGUCUGCAGUGGGUACGGGCAGACUAGAGUGUGGUAGGGGAGAUUGGAAUUCCUGGUGUAGUGGUGGAAUGCGCAGAUAUCAGGAGGAACACCGAUGGCGAAGGCAGAUCUCUGGGCCAUUACUGACGCUGAGGAGCGAAAGCAUGGGGAGCGAACA
RNAcentral lists this ribosomal RNA (407 nucleotides) under uncultured bacterium. RNAcentral describes it as "partial 16S ribosomal RNA". It matches the Rfam family "Bacterial small subunit ribosomal RNA", at positions 355 to 774 of the family's 1533-position model. The record is from RNAcentral.